GGAGUUAGCCGGUGCUUCUUCUGUGAGUGAUGUCCUUCCUGCCGGCUAUUAACCCGCAGGCCUUCUUCCUCACUGAAAGUGCUUUACAACCCGAAGGCCUUCUUCACACACGCGGCAUGGCUGGAUCAGGGUUGCCCCCAUUGUCCAAUAUUCCCCACUGCUGCCUCCCGUAGGAGUCUGGGCCGUGUCUCAGUCCCAGUGUGGCUGAUCAUCCUCUCAGACCAGCUACGGAUCGUCGCCUUGGUGAGCCGUUACCUCACCAACCAGCUAAUCCGACAUAGGCUCAUCCGAUAGCGCGAGGCCCGAAGGUCCCCCGNUUUCCCCCGUAGGGCGUAUGCGGUAUUAGCCUGGGUUUCCCCAGGUUAUCCCCCGACUACCGGGCAGAUUCCUAUGCAUUACUCACCCGUCCGCCGCUCGCCACCAGGGAGCAAGCUCCCCGUGCUGCCGCUCGACUUGCAUGUGUUAGGCCUGCCGCCAGCGUCAUCUGAGCAUGAUACAACUACUCGA
This 507-nucleotide ribosomal RNA is filed under the name uncultured bacterium. RNAcentral describes it as "partial 16S ribosomal RNA". The record is from RNAcentral.